This 519-nucleotide ribosomal RNA is filed under the name uncultured eukaryote. Its description in RNAcentral is "SSU rRNA". It matches the Rfam family "Eukaryotic small subunit ribosomal RNA", at positions 1161 to 1706 of the family's 1831-position model. The record is from RNAcentral.
AGGGCACCACCAGGAGUGGAGCCUGCGGCUUAAUUUGACUCAACACGGGGAAACUCACUCGGCCAGGACACAAUAAGGAUUGACAGAUUGAUAGCUCUUCCUUGAUUUUGUGGGUGGUGGUGCAUGGCCGUUCUUAGUUGGUGGAGCGAUUUGUCUGGUUAAUUCCGAUAACGAACGAGACUCUAGCCUAUUAAAUAGACGAUAUAUUAUUAGUUUAUCGAGCUUCUUAGAGGGACAGGCAGCUUCUAGCUGCACGAGAUUGAGCAAUAACAGGUCUGUGAUGCCCUUAGAUGUCCGGGGCUGCACGCGCGCUACAAUGAUAAUAGCAGCGUGCAUUAAAACCUUUUCUGGUAAGAAUUGGUAAACACGAAAUAUUGUCGUGCUUGGGAUAGGGGAUUGAAAUUAUUGCCCUUAAACGAGGAAUUCCCAGUAAGUGCGAGUCAUUAGCUUGCGUUGAUUACGUCCCUGCCCUUUGUACACACCGCCCGUCGCUACUACCGAUUGGAAGAUUUAGUGAAU